GUGGGGAAUAUUGGACAAUGGGCGAAAGCCUGAUCCAGCAAUGCCGCGUGAGUGAUGAAGGCCUUAGGGUUGUAAAGCUCUUUUACCCGGGAUGAUAAUGACAGUACCGGGAGAAUAAGCUCCGGCUAACUCCGUGCCAGCAGCCGCGGUAAUACGGAGGGAGCUAGCGUUGUUCGGGAUUACUGGGCGUAAAGCGCACGUAGGCGGCUUUGUAAGUUAGAGGUGAAAGCCUGGAGCUUAACUCCAGAACUGCCUUUAAGACUGCAUCGCUUGAAUCCAGGAGAGGUGAGUGGAAUUCCGAGUGUAGAGGUGAAAUUCGUAGAUAUUCGGAAGAACACCAGUGGCGAAGGCGACUCACUGGCCCGUUACUGACGCUGAGGCGCGAAAGCGUGGGGAGCAAACAGGAUUAGAUACCCCGGUAGUCC
RNAcentral lists this ribosomal RNA (425 nucleotides) under uncultured bacterium. RNAcentral's name for it is "partial 16S ribosomal RNA". It matches the Rfam family "Bacterial small subunit ribosomal RNA", at positions 354 to 796 of the family's 1533-position model. The record is from RNAcentral.